GACAGAGGUGCCGAGCGUUAGGCGGAAUCACUGGGCUUAAAGCGUGUGUAGGCGGGUCCGUAAGUACCUUGUGAAAUCCCACGGCUCAACCGUGGAACUGCUCGGUAUACUGCGGGCCUUGAGCCAGCUAGGGGCAACCGGAACAAGCGGUGGAGCGGUGAAAUGCGUAGAUAUCGCUUGGAACGCCAAAGGUGAAAACAGGUUGCUGGGGUUGUGCCGACGCUGAGACACGAAAGCCAGGGGAGCAAACGGG
This 253-nucleotide ribosomal RNA is filed under the name uncultured bacterium. Its description in RNAcentral is "partial 16S ribosomal RNA". It matches the Rfam family "Bacterial small subunit ribosomal RNA", at positions 524 to 776 of the family's 1533-position model. The record is from RNAcentral.